This is an RNA transcript of Pan troglodytes (chimpanzee), 2132 nucleotides long. It is a transcript of the gene named ciliary neurotrophic factor receptor, with no coding region annotated. The transcript has 10 exons. Lineage: Eukaryota; Metazoa; Chordata; Mammalia; Primates; Hominidae. The record is from RefSeq and is a predicted model, not a curated record.
GUGGGGGCUGCUUCUGCCUCCCGGGUCGUUCCGGCUGCCCGGGCCCCAGCCCCGCAGACCCGAUGCCCGCAGGCGGGCAGGCGGACCCACGGAGCGCCGGAGGCACCGACGGGGCGCCUGCGUGGGGACCCAGGUCCUGCCUGUCUUCCGUGGAGUCACGUCAGGCUCCUUUUAGGAUGGAGGCAUCAGGGCCCCAGCUACACCUGGAGUGGCAAGUGGCAAGGAUGUCUGCAGCAUUGCCGAUCUUUCCUGGGCUGGGGCCUGGCCAGCACAGCCUGGAUUCCAUUCUGACUGGACAGCGACUCCGCGUCUACUCCUUCAGUGAUGGGGGCGGGGCUGCAGGGUCCAAGGACACCUUAGGACUCUCCUCCUCAGUGAUGGCUGCUCCUGUCCCAUGGGCCUGCUGUGCUGUGCUUGCUGCCGCUGCCGCAGUUGUCUACGCCCAGAGACACAGUCCACAGGAGGCACCCCAUGUGCAGUACGAGCGCCUGGGCUCUGACGUGACACUGCCAUGUGGGACAGCAAACUGGGAUGCUGCGGUGACGUGGAGGGUAAAUGGGACAGACCUGGCCCCUGACCUGCUCAACGGCUCUCAGCUGGUGCUCCGUGGCCUGGAACUGGGCCACAGUGGUCUCUACGCCUGCUUCCACCGUGACUCCUGGCACCUGCGCCACCAAGUCCUGCUGCAUGUGGGCUUGCCGCCGCGGGAGCCUGUGCUCAGCUGCCGCUCCAACACUUACCCCAAGGGCUUCUACUGCAGCUGGCAUCUGCCCACCCCCACCUACAUUCCCAACACCUUCAAUGUGACUGUGCUGCAUGGCUCCAAAAUUAUGGUCUGUGAGAAGGACCCAGCCCUCAAGAACCGCUGCCACAUUCGCUACAUGCACCUGUUCUCCACCAUCAAGUACAAGGUCUCCAUAAGUGUCAGCAAUGCCCUGGGCCACAAUGCCACAGCUAUCACCUUUGACGAGUUCACCAUUGUGAAGCCUGAUCCUCCAGAAAAUGUGGUAGCCCGGCCAGUGCCCAGCAACCCUCGCCGGCUGGAGGUGACGUGGCAGACCCCCUCGACCUGGCCUGACCCUGAGUCUUUUCCUCUCAAGUUCUUUCUGCGCUACCGACCCCUCAUCCUGGACCAGUGGCAGCAUGUGGAGCUGUCCGACGGCACAGCACACACCAUCACAGAUGCCUACGCCGGGAAGGAGUACAUUAUCCAGGUGGCAGCCAAGGACAAUGAGAUCGGGACAUGGAGUGACUGGAGCGUGGCUGCCCACGCUACGCCCUGGACUGAGGAACCGCGACACCUCACCACGGAGGCCCAGGCUGCGGACCACGACCAGCACCACCAGCUCCCUGGCACCCCCACCUACCACGAAGAUCUGUGACCCUGGGGAGCUGGGCAGCGGCGGGGGACCCUCGGCACCCUUCUUGGUCAGCGUCCCCAUCACUCUGGCCCUGGCUGCCGCUGCCGCCACUGCCAGCAGUCUCUUGAUCUGAGCCCGGCACCCCAUGAGGACAUGCAGAGCACCUGCAGAGGAGCAGGAGGCCGGAGCUGAGCCUGCAGACCCCGGUUUCUAUUUUGCACACGGGCAGGAGGACCUUUUGCAUUCUCUUCAGACACAAUUUGUGGAGACCCCGGCGGGCCCGGGCCUGCCGGCCCCCAGCCCUGCCGCACCAAGCUGGCCCUCCUUCCUCCCUCAGGGGAGGUGGGCCAUGCAGCUAACCCACCCACCAAAGACCCCCUCACCCUGGCCCCUUGGGCUGGACCCUCCAAUGCCAGCGACUCCCAGGAGCCCUUGGGGGACGUGAGGGGAGCCUCUCACAUCCGAUUUCUCCUCCUGCCCCAGCCUCCUGUCUAUCCCAGGGUCUCUGUUGCCACCAUCAGAUUAUAAGCUCCUGAUGCUGGGGGGGCCCAGCCAUCCCCCUCCCCCCAGCACCCACACUUUUCAGUCCCCUCCCCUCUGCCCUGUUUUGUAUACCCCUCCCCUGACCCUGCUCCUAUCCCACAGUAUUUAAUGCCCUGUCAGUCCCUUCUAGUCUGACUCAAUGGUAACUUGCUGUAUUUGAAUUUUUUAUAGAUGUAUAUACAGGGUGGGGGGGGUGGGCGGUUCUCAUUAAACAUCACCAUUUCAUGA